RNAcentral lists this ribosomal RNA (184 nucleotides) under Listeria monocytogenes. RNAcentral describes it as "partial 16S ribosomal RNA". It matches the Rfam family "Bacterial small subunit ribosomal RNA", at positions 1 to 179 of the family's 1533-position model. Lineage: Bacteria; Bacillati; Bacillota; Bacilli; Caryophanales; Listeriaceae. The record is from RNAcentral.
UUUAAAGAGAGUUUGAUCCUGGCUCAGGACGAACGCUGGCGGCGUGCCUAAUACAUGCAAGUCGAACGAACGGAGGAAGAGCUUGCUCUUCCAAAGUUAGUGGCGGACGGGUGAGUAACACGUGGGCAACCUGCCUGUAAGUUGGGGAUAACUCCGGGAAACCGGGGCUAAUACCGAAUGAUAG